AGAGCGAACGCUGGCGGCAGGCCUAACACAUGCAAGUCGAGCGCCCCGCAAGGGGAGCGGCAGACGGGAGAGUAACACGUGGGAACGUGCCCUUUGGUUCGGAACAACACAGGGAAACUUGUGCUAAUACCGGAUAAGUCCGUAAGGAGAAAGAUUUAUCGCCAAAGGAUCGGCCCGCGUCUGAUUAGCUAGUUGGUGAGGUAACGGCUCACCAAGGCGACGAUCAGUAGCUGGUCUGAGAGGAUGAUCAGCCUCACUGGGACUGAGACACGGCCCAGACUCCUACGGGAGGCAGCAGUGGGGAAUAUUGGACAAUGGGCGCAAGCCUGAUCCAGCCAUGCCGCGUGGAUGAUGAAGGCCCUAGGGUUGUAAAGUCCUUUCGACGGGGAAGAUAAUGACGGUACCGUAGAAGAAGCCCCGGCUAACUUCGCGCCAGCAGCCGC
This 443-nucleotide ribosomal RNA is filed under the name uncultured bacterium. RNAcentral's name for it is "SSU rRNA". It matches the Rfam family "Bacterial small subunit ribosomal RNA", at positions 26 to 518 of the family's 1533-position model. The record is from RNAcentral.